RNAcentral lists this ribosomal RNA (163 nucleotides) under Dendrobium findlayanum. RNAcentral describes it as "5.8S ribosomal RNA". It matches the Rfam family "5.8S ribosomal RNA". From Rfam's summary of the family: 5.8S ribosomal RNA (5.8S rRNA) is a component of the large subunit of the eukaryotic ribosome. It is transcribed by RNA polymerase I as part of the 45S precursor that also contains 18S and 28S rRNA. The record is from RNAcentral. Lineage: Eukaryota; Viridiplantae; Streptophyta; Magnoliopsida; Asparagales; Orchidaceae.
ACAUGACUCUCGGCAAUGGAUAUCUCGGCUCUCGCAUCGAUGAAGAGCGCAGCGAAAUGCGAUAUGUGGUGCGAAUUGCAGAAUCCCGCGAACCAUCGAGUCUUUGAACGCAAGUUGCGCCCGAGGCCAACCGGCUAAGGGCACGUCCGCCUGGGCGUCAAGC